GUUAGGGUGGCAAGGCCCGGCGAUUGCAUAAAACUUAAACCUUUAUACUCAGAGGUUCAAAUCCUCUCCCUAACA
This 75-nucleotide transfer RNA is filed under the name Ursus sp. (bear). Its description in RNAcentral is "tRNA-Leu". It matches the Rfam family "tRNA". From Rfam's summary of the family: Transfer RNA (tRNA) molecules are approximately 80 nucleotides in length. Their secondary structure includes four short double-helical elements and three loops (D, anti-codon, and T loops). Further hydrogen bonds mediate the characteristic L-shaped molecular structure. tRNAs have two regions of fundamental functional importance: the anti-codon, which is responsible for specific mRNA codon recognition, and the 3' end, to which the tRNAs corresponding amino acid is attached (by aminoacyl-tRNA synthetases). tRNAs cope with the degeneracy of the genetic code in two manners: having more than one tRNA (with a specific anti-codon) for a particular amino acid; and 'wobble' base-pairing, i.e. permitting non-standard base-pairing at the 3rd anti-codon position. The record is from RNAcentral. Lineage: Eukaryota; Metazoa; Chordata; Mammalia; Carnivora; Ursidae. RNAcentral also lists the same sequence under 1 other name.